AUUAUCGUAUCAUGAAUAGCCAUGGUUAUCUUAAUAAUUAACCAUGUUCUGAAAUACU
RNAcentral lists this small nucleolar RNA (58 nucleotides) under Ferroplasma acidiphilum. RNAcentral's name for it is "C/D box methylation guide snoRNA". The record is from RNAcentral. Lineage: Archaea; Methanobacteriati; Thermoplasmatota; Thermoplasmata; Thermoplasmatales; Ferroplasmaceae.